RNAcentral lists this ribosomal RNA (2926 nucleotides) under Paenibacillus tianjinensis. RNAcentral describes it as "Paenibacillus sp. TB2019 23S ribosomal RNA". It matches the Rfam family "Bacterial large subunit ribosomal RNA". The record is from RNAcentral. Lineage: Bacteria; Bacillati; Bacillota; Bacilli; Caryophanales; Paenibacillaceae.
GGUUAAGCUAAUAAGAGCACACGGAGGAUGCCUAGGCGCCAGGAGCCGACGAAGGACGUGGCGAACAACGAAACUGCCUCGGGGAGCUGUAAGCAAGCUUUGAUCCGGGGGUGUCCGAAUGGGGAAACCCAGCUGUGGUAAUUCGCAGUUACUCACACCUGAAUACAUAGGGUGUGUAGAGGCAGACCAGGGGAACUGAAACAUCUAAGUACCCUGAGGAAGAGAAAACAAUAGUGAUUCCGUUAGUAGCGGCGAGCGAACGCGGAACAGCCUAAACCAAGGGGCUUGCCCCUUGGGGUUGUGGGACGUCUCAUAUGGAGUUACAAAGGAGUAUGGUAGGUGAAGAGGUCUGGAAAGGCCCGCGAUAGAGGUAAAAGCCCUGUAACCUAAACUGUGUUCCCUCCGAGACGGAUCCCGAGUAGUGCGGGACACGUGAAACCCCGUAUGAAUCCAGCAGGACCAUCUGCUAAGGCUAAAUACUACCUGGCGACCGAUAGUGAAACAGUACCGUGAGGGAAAGGUGAAAAGCACCCCGGAAGGGGAGUGAAAUAGAACCUGAAACCGUGUGCUUACAAAAAGUCAGAGCCCGUUUUAGGGGUGAUGGCGUGCCUUUUGUAGAAUGAACCGGCGAGUUACGUUUAACAUGCAAGGUUAAGGUGAGAAGCCGGAGCCGCAGCGAAAGCGAGUCUGAAUAGGGCGACUAAGUAUGUGGACGUAGACCCGAAACCGUGUGAUCUACCCCUGUCCAGGGUGAAGGUGCGGUAACACGCACUGGAGGCCCGAACCCACGUAUGUUGAAAAAUACGGGGAUGAGGUGGGGGUAGCGGAGAAAUUCCAAUCGAACUCGGAGAUAGCUGGUUCUCCCCGAAAUAGCUUUAGGGCUAGCCUCGGUGAAUGGAGUGGUGGAGGUAGAGCACUGAUUGGGUGCGGGGCCCGCAAGGGUUACCAAGCUCAGUCAAACUCCGAAUGCCAUUUACUUCUUGCCGGGAGUCAGACAGUGAGUGCUAAGAUCCAUUGUCAAAAGGGAAACAGCCCAGACCAUCAGCUAAGGUCCCCAAGUGUGUGUUAAGUGGGAAAGGAUGUGGAGUUGCACAGACAACCAGGAUGUUGGCUUAGAAGCAGCCACCAUUGAAAGAGUGCGUAAUAGCUCACUGGUCGAGUGACUCUGCGCCGAAAAUGUAACGGGGCUAAACACACCACCGAAGCUAUGGCUAGAUGCUUUGCAUCUGGGGUAGGGGAGCGUUGUAUGUGGGUUGAAGGUGUACCGUAAGGAGCGCUGGACAGCAUACAAGUGAGAAUGCCGGUAUGAGUAACGAAAAGAUCAGUGAGAAUCUGAUCCGCCGAAAGCCCAAGGUUUCCUGAGGAAGGCUCGUCCGCUCAGGGUAAGUCGGGACCUAAGGCGAGGCCGAAAGGCGUAGUCGAAGGACAACAGUUUGAAAUUACUGUACCACCGUAAUCCGCUAUGAGCGAUGGGGUGACGCAGGAGGGUAGUGACGCGGACUGAUGGAUGUCCGUCUAAGCAGUGAGGCUGGUGUGUAGGCAAAUCCGCACAUCGUAAGGCUGGGCUGUGAUGGGGAGCGAAAAUUAUAGUAGCGAAGGUCAUGAUCUCACACUGCCAAGAAAAGCCUCUAGUCAGGAGAAGGUGCCCGUACCGCAAACCGACACAGGUAGGCGAGAAGAGAAUUCUAAGGCGCGCGGAAGAACUCUCGUUAAGGAACUCGGCAAAAUGACCCCGUAACUUCGGGAGAAGGGGUGCCUCGGUAGGGUGAAUAGCCCGAGGGGGCCGCAGUGAAAAGGCCCAAGCGACUGUUUAGCAAAAACACAGGUCUGUGCGAAGCCGCAAGGCGAAGUAUACGGGCUGACGCCUGCCCGGUGCUGGAAGGUUAAGGGGAGUGGUUAGGGGUAACCCGAAGCUAUGAACCGAAGCCCCAGUAAACGGCGGCCGUAACUAUAACGGUCCUAAGGUAGCGAAAUUCCUUGUCAGGUAAAUUCUGACCCGCACGAAUGGCGUAACGACUUGGGCGCUGUCUCAACGAGAGAUCCGGUGAAAUUUUAAUACCUGUGAAGAUGCAGGUUACCCGCGACAAGACGGAAAGACCCCAUGGAGCUUUACUGCAGCUUGAUAUUGAAUUUGGGUACGAUCUGUACAGGAUAGGUGGGAGCCGUAGAGGCAGGAGCGCAAGCUUCUGCGGAGGCGCCGUUGGGAUACCACCCUGAUCGUAUCUAGGUUCUAACCUGGUACCCUAAGCGGGUACGGGGACCGUGUCAGGCGGGCAGUUUGACUGGGGCGGUCGCCUCCUAAAGAGUAACGGAGGCGUUCAAAGGUUCCCUCAGAAUGGUUGGAAAUCAUUCGAAGAGUGCAAAGGCAUAAGGGAGCUUGACUGCGAGACCUACAAGUCGAGCAGGGACGAAAGUCGGACUUAGUGAUCCGGUGGUACCGCAUGGAAGGGCCAUCGCUCAACGGAUAAAAGCUACCCUGGGGAUAACAGGCUUAUCUCCCCCAAGAGUCCACAUCGACGGGGAGGUUUGGCACCUCGAUGUCGGCUCAUCGCAUCCUGGGGCUGAAGUAGGUCCCAAGGGUUGGGCUGUUCGCCCAUUAAAGCGGUACGCGAGCUGGGUUCAGAACGUCGUGAGACAGUUCGGUCCCUAUCUGUCGUGGGCGCAGGAAAUUUGAGAGGAGCUGUCCUUAGUACGAGAGGACCGGGAUGGACGUACCGCUGGUGCACCAGUUGUUUCGCCAGAAGCAUGGCUGGGUAGCUACGUACGGACGGGAUAAGCGCUGAAAGCAUCUAAGCGUGAAGCCCCCCUCAAGAUGAGAUUUCCCAACACGUAAGACCCCUUGAAGACGACGAGGUAGAUAGGUUGGAGGUGGAAGUGCAGUAAUGCAUGGAGCUGACCAAUACUAAUCGGUCGAGGGCUUAUCCAA